RNAcentral lists this long non-coding RNA (3429 nucleotides) under Malus domestica (apple). RNAcentral's name for it is "long non-coding RNA (MDOM_LNC003773)". Lineage: Eukaryota; Viridiplantae; Streptophyta; Magnoliopsida; Rosales; Rosaceae. The record is from RNAcentral.
AUAUAUAUAUAUAUAUAUUAAGUUUUAAAUUAAAUUUUAUACCCCUAAAAACUAUAAUAAUUAUACGUACAAAAUAAAUAGAUUUAAAUCUACAUAAUAAAUAAAUAUAUAUAUAUAUAUACACACACACCAUUGAACUUGAUGGGAUACACGAAACUAAUUUCAACGAUCCAACCGUUAAACUUGUUUGUAUAUGUUUCGAGAUCGUAUCAGCAAAAAAUCGCAAAAAACAAACAUUCAGAGAUUAAGUAACGAGACAAAACUUUUCGACGGUUUUAAAGCAAAAAAUCACGAUUUAACGAUUAUUUUAAUUCCGAUUUUAUUGAUUUUUUACAGCUACACUCCUUGACCCUAUAUGAAUACAAUGAAUGAAUUUUAUUUUCAAUUUAAAAUAUUUACUCUAGUGGAUACCACAAAAUCUUAUGUUAUACUUAAUGAAAGUAUAAAUAAAUUCUAAGUGUUAGUGAAUCUAUCGUUUUGAUGGGAUACGAAUUAUAUGAAACUAAUUUCAACGUUCCAACCGUCAAACUUGUUUGUAUAUGCUUCGAGAUCGCAUACACCAAAAAUCACAAAAAACAAACAUUCAUAGAUCAAGUAAUGAGACAAAACUUUUCGAUGGUUAUAAAACAAAAAAUCACGAUUUUACGGUUAUUUUAACUCCGAUUUUGAUGAUUUUUUACAACUACACUCCUUGACCCUAUAUGAAUACAAUGAAUGAAUUCGAUUUUCAAUUUAAAAUAUUUACACUAGUGUUUAUGUUAUACACAAUGAAAGUAUAAAUAAACCAAGUGUUAGUGAAUCUAUCGUUUUGAUGGGAUACGAAUUCUAUGAAACUAAUUUCAACGAUCCAACCGUCGAACUUGUUUGUAUAUGCUUCGAGAUCUCAUACGCCAAAAAUCACAAAAAAACAAACAUUCAGAGAUCAAGUAAUGAGACAAAACUUUUCGACGGUUAUAAAACAAAAAAUCACGAUUUAACAGUUAUUUUAACUCCGAUUUUGAUGAUUUUUUACAGCUACACUCCUUGACCCUAUAUGAAUACAAUGAAUGAAUUUCAUUUUCAAUUUAAAAUAUUUACACUAGUGGAUACCACAAAAUCUUAUGUUAUACUUAAUGAAAGUAUAAAUAAACUCUAAGUGUUAGUGAAUAUCGUUUUGAUGGGAUAUGAAUUCUAUGAAACUAAUUUCAAUGAUCCAACCGUCAAACUUGUUUUUAUAUGCUUUGAGAUCGCAUACGCCAAAAAUCACAAAAAACAAACAUUCAGAGAUCAAGUAAUGAGACAAAACUUUUCGACGGUUAUAAAACAAAAAAUCACAAUUUAACGGUUAUUUUAACUUCGAUUUUGAUGAUUUUUUACAACUACACUCCUUGACCUUAUACGAAUACAAUGAAUGAAUUUGAUCUUCAAUUUAAAAUAUUUACAAAAGUGGAUACCACAAAAUCUUAUGUUAUACUUAAUAAAAUUAUACAUAAACUCUACGUGUUAGUGAAUCUAUCGUUUUGAUGGGAUACGAAUUAUAUGAAACUAAUUUCAACGAUCCAACCGUCAAACUUGUUUUUAUAUGCUUCGAGAUCGCAUACGCCAAAAAUCACAAAAAAAAAAAAACAUUCAGAGAUCAAGUAAUUAGACAAAACGUUUCGACGGUUAUAAAACAAAAUAUCACGAUUUAACGGUUAAUUUAACUCCGAUUUUGAUAAUUUUUUACAACUAUACUCCUUGACCCUGUACGAAUACAAUGAAUGAAUUUGAUCAUCAAUUUAGAAUAUUUACACAAGUGGAUACCACAAAAUCUUAUGUUAUACUUAGUGAAAGUAUAAAUAAACUAAGUGUUAGUGAAUCUAUCGUUUUGAUAGAAUACGAAUUAUAUGAAACUAAUUUUAACGAUCCAACCGUCAAACGUAUUUGUAUAUGCUUCGAGAUCGCACACGCCAAAAAUCACAAAAAACAAACAUUCAGAGAUCAAGUAAUGAGACAAAACUUUUCGACGGUUAUAAAACAAAAAAUCACGAUUUAACAGGGAUACCACAAAAUCUUAUGUUAUACUUGAUGAAAGUAUAAAUAAACUCUAAGUGUUAGUGAAUAUUGUUUUGAUGGGAUAUGAAUUCUAUGAAACUAAUUUCAACAAGCCAACCGUCAAACUUGUUUGUAUAUGCUUCAAGAUUCCAUACCCCAAAACUCAAAAAAAACGAACAUUCAGAUAUCAAGUAAUGAGACAAAAUGUUUCGACGGUUAUAAAACAAAAAAUCACGAUUUAACGGUUAUUUUAACUCUGAUUUUGAUGAUUUUUUACAACUACACUCCUUGACCCUAUACGAAUACAAUGAAUGAAUUUGAUCGUUAAUUUAAAAUAUUUACACAAGUGGAUACCACAAAAUCUUAUGUUAUACUUAAUAAAAGUAUAAAUAAACUCCAAGUGUUAGUGAAUCUAUCGUUUUGAUGGGAUACGAAUUAUAUGAAACUAAUUUCAAUGAUCCAACCGUCAAACUUGUUUUUAUAUGCUUCGAGAUCGCAUACGCCAAAAAUCACAAAAAAACAAAUAUUCAGAGAUCAAGUAAUUAGACAAAACUUUUCGACGGUUAUAAAACAAAAAAUCACGAUUUAACGGUUAUUUUAACUCCGAUUUUGAUGAUUUAUUACAACUACACUCCUUGACCCUAUACGAAUACAAUGAAUGAAUUUGAUUGUCAAUUUAAAAUAUUUACACAAGUGGAUAGCACAAAAUCUUAUGUUAUACUUAAUGAAAGUAUAAAUAAACUCUAAGUGUUAGUGAAUCUAUCGUUUUGAUGAGAUACGAAUUAUAUGAAACUAAUUUUAACGAUCCAACUGUCAAACUUAUUUGUAUAUGCUUCGAGAUCGCAUACGCUAAAAAUCACAAAAAACAAACAUUCAGAGAUCAAGUAAUUAGACAAAACUUUUCGACAGUUAUAAAAGAAAAAAUCAUGAUUUAACGGUUAUUUUAACUCCGAUUUUGAUGAUUUUUUACAACUACACUCCUUAACCAUAUAUGAAUACAAUGAAUGAAUUUGAUCGUCAAUUUAAAAUAUUUACACAAGUGGAUACCAGAAAAUCUUAUGUUAUACUUAAUGAAAGUAUAAAUAAACUCUACGUGUUAAUGAAUCUAUCGUUUUGAUGGGAUACGAAUUCUAUGAAACUAAUUUUAACGAUUCAACCGUCAAACUUGUUUGUAUAUGCUUCGAGAUCGCAUACGCCAAAAAUCACAAACUUGUUUGUAUAUGCUUCGAGAUCACAACCGUCAAACUUGUUUUUUUAUUAGGCUAUUAUUUUCGAGUGUAGAUGUAGUACUUAAAUGACAAAUAUGUUUUAAUGUUUUGAAGUAAUAUUUAUGUGGUAAUGUGUGGUAUGUGCAAAUUUAAGAAAAUUUAUAUUUUUCUUAACGGGUCAUAACGGGUUCACUUUACCCGUUGGGUA